Molecule: ribosomal RNA, 273 nt
Filed under: Trechus uhagoni
Lineage: Eukaryota; Metazoa; Arthropoda; Insecta; Coleoptera; Carabidae
Description: partial 16S ribosomal RNA
Source: RNAcentral
UUAAAUGGCUGCAGUAAUUUGACUGUACAAAGGUAGCAUAAUCAUUAGUUUUUUAAUUAAAAGCUUGUAUGAAAGGUUGGACGAAAUAAAAUCUGUCUCUUUUUAAUAUAAUUAGAAUUUAAUUUUUAAGUUAAAAAGCUUAAAUUUAUAUAAAAGACGAGAAGACCCUAUAGAGUUUUAUAAUUUUAAUUUAUUAAUUAAUUUAGAUUUAUUAAUUUUAUUUUUUUAAAAUUAUUUUAUUGGGGUAAUAGAAAGAUAAAAAAAAUUCUUUUU